AUACGGAGGAUCCGAGCGUUAUCCGGAUUUUUUGGGUUUAAAGGGUGCGCAGGCGGCCAUUUAAGUCAGCGGUUAAAUCGUGGGGCUCAACCCCAUUCUGCCGUUGAUACUGGGUGGCUUGAUUGCGGUCGAGGUUGGCGGAAUUCGUUGUGUAGCGGUGAAAUGCAUAGAUAUGACGAAGAACACCGAUUGCGUAGGCAGCUGACCAGACCGCAAAUGACGCUCAUGCACGAAAGUGCGGGGAUCGAACAGGAUUAGAUACCCUGGUAGUCCGCACAGUAAACGAUGAAUACUUGUUUUCGGCGAUAUAAUGUCGGAGGCAAAGCGAAAGCGAUAAGUAUUCCACCUGGGGAGUACGCCGGCAACGGUGAAACUCAAAUGAAUUGACGGGG
RNAcentral lists this ribosomal RNA (392 nucleotides) under uncultured bacterium. Its description in RNAcentral is "partial 16S ribosomal RNA". It matches the Rfam family "Bacterial small subunit ribosomal RNA", at positions 523 to 918 of the family's 1533-position model. The record is from RNAcentral.